UCUAAAAUGGCAGAUAAGUGCAUUGGGCUUAAAAUCCAUUAAUAAGAUAUUCUUUUUUAGAA
RNAcentral lists this transfer RNA (62 nucleotides) under Tetrodontophora bielanensis (giant springtail). Its description in RNAcentral is "tRNA-Leu". The record is from RNAcentral. Lineage: Eukaryota; Metazoa; Arthropoda; Collembola; Poduromorpha; Onychiuridae.